Molecule: ribosomal RNA, 407 nt
Filed under: uncultured bacterium
Lineage: Bacteria
Description: partial 16S ribosomal RNA
Rfam family: Bacterial small subunit ribosomal RNA
Source: RNAcentral
AUUGAACGCUGGCGGCAGGCCUAACACAUGCAAGUCGAGCGGAGUGGCGGACGGGCGAGUAAUGUCUAGGAAUCUGCCUGGUAGUGGGUGAUAACGUCCGGACACGGGCGCUAAUACUGCAUACUAUUAGAUGAGCCUAGGUCGGAUUAGCCAGUGGGUGGGGUAAAGGCCUACCAAGGCGACGAUCCGUAACUGGGCUGAGAGGAUGAUCAGUCACACUGGAACUGAGACACGGUCCCGACUCCUACGGAAGGCAGCAGUGGGGAAUAUUGGACAAGGGGCGAAAGCCUGAUCCAGCCAUGCCGCGUGGGUGAAGAAGGUCUUCGGAUUGUAAAGCACUUUAAGUUGGGAGGCGUUACCAACAGAAUAAGCACCGGCUAACGUCGUGCCAGCAGCCGCGGUAAUAC